This 570-nucleotide long non-coding RNA is filed under the name Mus caroli (Ryukyu mouse). Its description in RNAcentral is "lncRNA (MGP_CAROLIEiJ_G0002384.1)". The stretch from base 3 to 127 matches the Rfam family "U4atac minor spliceosomal RNA". The record is from RNAcentral. Lineage: Eukaryota; Metazoa; Chordata; Mammalia; Rodentia; Muridae.
CAACCAUCCUUUUCUUGGGGUUGCGCUACUGUCCAAUGAACGUGUAGUGAGGGCAGUACUGCUAACGCCUGACAACACACCUGCAUCGGUUAGAGCUCUGCUUUACCUUGGUGCAAUUUUUGGAAAAACCACAAAACCUCUCUUCCUUGCCCAAACAUUUAAAGAUAAGAAUUGCCGCGUGUAUAAUGUUGCCCUCCUCGCAGUUCCUUUACUGUUUGCAAGAGGGCAGCUGGACAGUAAUUACUGCAAGAUCAGCUUUCUCACCGCUGACCUGAGACUGUGAUAUGUUGCAAUACAGAUAAAGGGUUCCGUAUUUGAGUUUUCAUCCAGCUAACAAGUAAAUCUAUUUACUAGUUAAAACACCAAACCAGCCCUGGGAGGGGUUAGAUACUUGGAAGUGUAUAAUUCUUUUGAUGUACAGAGUCUAUGUAGCCCUUAGCAUGUAGCCCCUGCUGGCCUCAAAUUUGUAGCUCCCAACUGCUAAAAUUAAAGGCAUGUGCCACUUCCCGGGGCUCUUUUUUCUCCCAACUUUUAAAAUAGUCCUAUUUAUGAGCAUUUUCUUUAAAACAA